Molecule: ribosomal RNA, 756 nt
Filed under: Candidatus Phytoplasma cynodontis
Lineage: Bacteria; Bacillati; Mycoplasmatota; Mollicutes; Acholeplasmatales; Acholeplasmataceae
Description: bacterial SSU rRNA
Rfam family: Bacterial small subunit ribosomal RNA
Source: RNAcentral
CGAGCAAGGCCGCGUGAACGAUGAAGUAUUUCGGUAUGUAAAGUUCUUUUAUUGAAGAAGAAAAAAUAGUGGAAAAACUAUCUUGACGAUAUUCAAUGAAUAAGCCCCGGCAAACUAUGUGCCAGCAGCCGCGGUAAUACAUAGGGGGCGAGCGUUAUCCGGAAUUAUUGGGCGUAAAGGGUGCGUAGGCGGUUUGGUAAGUCUAUAGUUUAAUUUCAGUGCUUAACACUGUUCUGCUAUAGAAACUAUCAGACUAGAGUGAGAUAGAGGCAAGUGGAAUUCCAUGUGUAGCGGUAAAAUGCGUAAAUAUAUGGAGGAACACCAGAGGCGUAGGCGGCUUGCUGGGUCUUUACUGACGCUGAGGCACGAAAGCGUGGGGAGCAAACAGGAUUAGAUACCCUGGUAGUCCACGCCGUAAACGAUGAGUACUAAGUGUCGGGGAAACUCGGUACUGAAGUUAACACAUUAAGUACUCCGCCUGAGUAGUACGUACGCAAGUAUGAAACUUAAAGGAAUUGACGGGACUCCGCACAAGCGGUGGAUCAUGUUGUUUAAUUCGAAGAUACACGAAAAACCUUACCAGGUCUUGACAUACUCUGCAAAGCUAUAGCAAUAUAGUGGAGGUUAUCAGGGAUACAGGUGGUGCAUGGUUGUCGUCAGCUCGUGUCGUGAGAUGUUAGGUUAAGUCCUAAAACGAGCGCAACCCUUGUCACUAGUUGCCAGCAUGUUAUGAUGGGCACUUUAACGAGACUGCCA